AUUGAACGCUGGCGGCAGGCUUAACACAUGCAAGUCGAGCGGAGAUGAGGUGCUUGCACCUUAUCUUAGCGGCGGACGGGUGAGUAAUGCUUAGGAAUCUGCCUAUUAGUGGGGGACAACAUUCCGAAAGGAAUGCUAAUACCGCAUACGUCCUACGGGAGAGAGCAGGGGAGCUUCGGUCCUUGCGCUAAUAGAUGAGCCGAAGUCGGAUUAGCUAGGUGGUGGGGUAAAGGCCUACCAAGGCGACGAUCUGUAGCGGGUCUGAGAGGAUGAUCCGCCACACUGGGACUGAGACACGGCCCAGACUCCUACGGGAGGCAGCAGUGGGGAAUAUUGGACAAUGGGGGGAACCCUGAUCCAGCCAUGCCGCGUGUGUGAAGAAGGCCUUAUGGUUGUAAAGCACUUUAAGCGAGGAGGAGGCUACUGAGACUAAUACUCUUGGAUAGUGGACGUUACUCGCAGAAUAAGCACCGGCUAACUCUGUGCCAGCAGCCGCAGUAA
Molecule: ribosomal RNA, 501 nt
Filed under: uncultured bacterium
Lineage: Bacteria
Description: partial 16S ribosomal RNA
Rfam family: Bacterial small subunit ribosomal RNA
Source: RNAcentral